This 484-nucleotide ribosomal RNA is filed under the name uncultured bacterium. RNAcentral describes it as "partial 16S ribosomal RNA". It matches the Rfam family "Bacterial small subunit ribosomal RNA", at positions 29 to 523 of the family's 1533-position model. The record is from RNAcentral.
AGUGAACGCUGGCGGCGUGCUUAACACAUGCAAGUCGAACGAGAACGGGUUAUAGCUUGCUAUAAUUGUCAGCUAAGUGGCGCACGGGUGAGUAAUGUAUAGGUAAUAUGCCUCUUACUAAGGGAUAACAAAUGGAAACGUUUGCUAAUACCUUAUACUCCUUAUUAACAGAAGUUAAUAAGGGAAAGAUUUAUUGGUAAGAGAUUAGCCUGUAUUGUAUCAGUUAGUUGGUGGGGUAAUGGCUUACCAAGACUAUGACACAUAACUGGUUUGAGAGGAUGAUCAGUCACACUGGAACUGAGACACGGUCCAGACUCCUACGGGAGGCAGCAGUGGGGAAUAUUGCACAAUGGACGAAAGUCUGGUGCAGCAACGCCGCGUAGAGGAUGACACAUUUCGGUGCGUAAACUCCUUUUAUAUGAGAAGAUAAUGACGCUAUUAUAUGAAUAAGCACCGGCUAACUCCGUGCCAGCAGCCGCCGUAA